UACGUAGGUGGCAAGCGUUAUCCGGAUUUAUUGGGUUUAAAGGGUGCGUAGGCGGAAUUAUAAGUCAGCGGUGAAAUCCUGUAGCUUAACUAUAGAAUUGCCAUUGAUACUGUUAUUCUUGAGUCUAAUUGAGGUGGGCGGAAUGUGUAGUGUAGCGGUGAAAUGCUUAGAUAUUACACAGAACACCAAUUGCGUAGGCAGCUCACUAAAUUAUAACUGACGCUGAGGCACGAAAGCAUGGGGAGCAAACAGG
Molecule: ribosomal RNA, 253 nt
Filed under: uncultured bacterium
Lineage: Bacteria
Description: partial 16S ribosomal RNA
Rfam family: Bacterial small subunit ribosomal RNA
Source: RNAcentral